Scophthalmus maximus (turbot) is the source of this 1795-nucleotide long non-coding RNA. RefSeq lists it as uncharacterized. The transcript is spliced from 5 exons. NCBI's taxonomy places the organism in Eukaryota, Metazoa, Chordata, Actinopteri, Pleuronectiformes, Scophthalmidae. The record is from RefSeq and is a predicted model, not a curated record.
GCGAGGAAGAGCGCGAUGAUGAGCAGCACCAGGGCGAUGAUGAUGUACUUCUUGUAGUUUCGCCAAAUCAGGUGGAAGAAACACUUGAAGGGAUUGACGAACCACGAGAAGGAGGUGUCCGGACGGCUGGGCGUGCUGCGUCCGAAGGCCCGCCAAUCGACAACAGUGAUACUCAGCGGAGGAAGGAGGUUUUCGUUCUCCGGCAACUCCUGCACAACAAUAAACCUGUAGGUGCUGAGAACGGGCCUGAUGUUGGCAGGAACCCUGUAGAUGCCUCCUCCCUCCUCCUCCUCCAACGGCGGCAGACUUUCCUGUCCAGACUCUGGGAUCUACGACACAGCGAUGUCUCUUCAUUAUCAAUGCACAUAAUAACUUUCAGACCUGGAUCUUCACUCUCUGACACAGAGGAGGGAACAUCUCUGUAAAGACGAUCUGCUCGUUCCACACCGGGUCGGCUGUGGACUUCUGGGUGGAUGUGCGACCCUGAGAGGUGAGGCCAAAGAUCAUCUUGGCCUUUCUGCAGGACAAAGACACUUUCACAGUAAGAAGAAAACUUUCUCAUUUUCAACCUCCUCUGCAGCACAAAGCUGAUUUCACAUGACUUCAAUCGCACGGCUAUUGAUCGAUUGCUGAGGAACAGACCGGAGGCUCCUUGCUCCUUGUCCUAAAGACAACACUUCAUCAACAUCAUCCCGUCUCGCUCCAUGUUUGUGGAGCGGCUGCGGCUCCAGCGGUUCUGUUUCUUUAGUGUUGUUAGUUUGAGAUCUAGUUCAAAGGGGCCUGCCCUUCUCAUCCACUGAGGAAGAUUUAUUCACAUGUUUCCCAUCAUCGGUUUCCGACGCUGCCUUCACUGUCACGAGUGUCUCACAGGUUCAGUGAUGAGUCACUCAGGAAAGUAAAAUCGUCCUCAAAGUACAGAAAGUAUUGCCGCUAGACGAUAUGAUUGAUGAUUGUCAUAAUUGUUGUCAUAUAUUGUAGAUAAUGAGAGGAUUAAAGUCGUUCACCUUGAAGAACUUUCUGACUUCUUCAGCCCUAAACCAAAACAGCACAUCAUGGUGCGUUUAGUGCAAACACAAAGCAAAUUUUUCGUGCGAUGAGAUUUUACAUCCAAAGACAAUUCAAAAACGUGAAUUUACGCAAAUUUGGUGUGGAACAGUUUGGAACCUGAGAGUGUUGAAAUCUUUAAACGGAAGAUUAAAGGCUCUCUCUCCAGCCUGGUGUUUGAUUUGUUUAUAGAUGUUAUUGAAUUUCUUUCUAUUAUUUGAUCGUUUGUAUCUUUGUUUGUCCAUUUGUAGCUUUUUAAAUCUUUCAUGGUAUUUCAUUGCACUCACCUGUAUGAAAGGUGCUUUGCAAGUGAAGUUUGAUUGAUUGAUUGAUUAGUCAGGUUUUAGAGGUGUUAGGAGAGGAGGUGAGUCUUCACGAGGUUCUUGGAGAUGGAGAGCGACGUCAAUCUUCUUGAAGAAGUCAGAAAGUUCCUAGAUUCGUCUAAUUCAUUAUUGGGUUUAAUCUUCUUGGAGAAAGAGAGUGACGCCUGUUGUUCGUUUCACCAUCAGAGAACCAAAGAGUAGAACCACAGAGGAGAACCGUCUGGAAUGUGAUUGCUCAUGUAUACAGUGAUGUCAAUGCCAGGCAACGUUUCUCACACACAGUUCUUGUUGCGUUGGAUGAAGGUAAAUCUUUGUGUGAGCACAGUCUGACCUUUAGUUUAGGUUAGAGGAUUUAAAAAAACAAAAGAUCCCAAUAAAUAGAUAGUUGAAUACAUGAACCAGUUGACUCUCCUACCUCAGUUUGGGAU